RNAcentral lists this ribosomal RNA (253 nucleotides) under uncultured bacterium. RNAcentral describes it as "partial 16S ribosomal RNA". It matches the Rfam family "Bacterial small subunit ribosomal RNA", at positions 524 to 776 of the family's 1533-position model. The record is from RNAcentral.
UACGUAGGAUCCAAGCGUUGUCCGGAUUUACUGGGUGUAAAGGGUGCGCAGGCGGACUUGUAAGUCAGGGGUGAAAUCUCACAGCUCAACUGUGAAACUGCCUUUGAUACUGCAAGUCUUGGAUCCAGAAGAGAGUUGUGGAAUUCCGAGUGUAGCAGUGAAAUGUGUAGAUAUUCGGAAGAACACCAGUGGCGAAGGCGGGUCUCUGGGCCGAUACUGACGCUGAGGAGCGAAAGCGUGGGGAGCGAACAGG